RNAcentral lists this ribosomal RNA (885 nucleotides) under uncultured archaeon. RNAcentral's name for it is "bacterial SSU rRNA". It matches the Rfam family "Archaeal small subunit ribosomal RNA", at positions 459 to 1344 of the family's 1478-position model. The record is from RNAcentral.
CAGCAGCCGCGGUAAUACCAGCCCCUCGAGUGGUAGGGAUGAUUAUUUGGCCUAAAGCGUCCGUAGCCGGCCGGGUAAGUUUUCCGUUAAAUCCAGCGUCUCAAGCGUUGGACUGCGGGAAAUACUGCUUGGCUAGAGAGUGGGAGAGGUAAGCGGUAUUCUGGGGGUAGGGGCGAAAUCCUUUGAUCCCCGGAGGACCACCAGUGGCGAAGGCUGCUCACUAGAACACGUCUGACGGUCAGGGACGAAAGCUGGGGUAGCGAACCGGAUUAGAUACCCGGGUAGUCCCAGCCGUAAACGAUGCAUGCUAGGUGUUGGGUUGGCCACGAGCCACCCCGGUGCCGCAGGGAAGCCGUUAAGCAUGCCGCCUGGGAAGUACGAUCGCAAGGUUGAAACUUAAAGGAAUUGGCGGGGGAGCACCACCAGGCGUGAAGCCUGCGGUUUAAUUAGAGUCAACGCCGGGAACCUUACCGGAAGCGACAGCAGAAUGAAGGCCAAGUUGAAGACUUUGCUAGACGAGCUGAGAGGAGGUGCAUGGCCGUCGCCAGUUCGUGCCGUGAGGUGUUCUCUUAAGUGAGAUAACGAACGAGACCCGCGCCACAUGUUGCCAUCAGAAUCUAAAGGAUUGCUGGGCACUCUUGUGGGACCGCAGCCGAUAAGGCUGAGGAAGGGGCGGGCAACGGCAGGUCAGUAUGCCCCGAAUCUUCCGGGCCACACGCGGGCUGCAAUGGUAUGGACAGAGGGCUGCAACCCCGAGAGGGAAAGCCAAUCCCUAAACCGUACCUCAGUUGGGAUUGAGGGCUGCAACCCGCCCUCAUGAACAUGGAAUGCCUAGUAACUGCACGUCAUCAUCGUGCGGUGAAUACGUCCCUGCCCCUUGCACAC